CCUACGGGUGGCUGCAGUAACGAAUCUUCCACAAUGCACGCAAGUGUGAUGGAGCGACGCCGCGUGUGGGACGAAGUCCUUCGGGAUGUAAACCACUGUCAGGGGAUAGAAAGUUCUGAUCAUCCCCAGAGGAAGAGACGGCUAACUCUGUGCCAGCAGCCGCGGUAAGACAGAGGUCUCAAGCGUUAGGCGGAAUCACUGGGCUUAAAGCGUGUGUAGGCGGAAUUGUAAGUACCUUGUGAAAUCCCACGGCUCAACCGUGGAACUGCUUGGUAUACUGCUUUUCUUGAGCCAAUUAGGGGCAGCUGGAACUAACGGUGGAGCGGUGAAAUGCGUAGAUAUCGUUUGGAACGCCAAUGGUGAAAACAGGCUGCUGGGAUUGUGCUGACGCUGAGACACGAAAGCCAGGGGAUCAAACGGGAUUAGAUACCCCGGUAGUC
RNAcentral lists this ribosomal RNA (440 nucleotides) under uncultured bacterium. RNAcentral describes it as "bacterial SSU rRNA". It matches the Rfam family "Bacterial small subunit ribosomal RNA", at positions 338 to 795 of the family's 1533-position model. The record is from RNAcentral.